CGAACGGGUGAGUAACACGUGAGUUACCUGCCCCAAAGUGGGGGAUAGCCUCCCGAAAGGGAGAUUAAUACCGCAUGUGAUCGCAAGAUUAAAGGUGGCCUUUGUGCUGCCGCUUUGGGAUGGGCUCGCGGCCUAUCAGCUUGUUGGUGAGGUAAAGGCUCACCAAGGCGAUGACGGGUAGCUGGUCUGAGAGGACGAUCAGUCACACUGGAACUGAGACACGGUCCAG
This 229-nucleotide ribosomal RNA is filed under the name uncultured bacterium. RNAcentral's name for it is "partial 16S ribosomal RNA". It matches the Rfam family "Bacterial small subunit ribosomal RNA", at positions 99 to 334 of the family's 1533-position model. The record is from RNAcentral.